UACGGAGGAUGCAAGCGUUAUCCGGAAUGAUUGGGCGUAAAGCGUCCGCAGGUGGUGUUGUAAGUCUGUUGUUAAAGCGUGCGGCUUAACCGCAUAAGGGCGAUGGAAACUACAAGACUAGAGUGCGUUAGGGGUAGAGGGAAUUCCUGGUGUAGCGGUGAAAUGCGUAGAGAUCAGGAAGAACACCGGUGGCGAAAGCGCUCUACUAUGCCGCAACUGACACUGAGGGACGAUAGCUAGGGGAGCGAAUGGG
Molecule: ribosomal RNA, 253 nt
Filed under: uncultured bacterium
Lineage: Bacteria
Description: partial 16S ribosomal RNA
Rfam family: Bacterial small subunit ribosomal RNA
Source: RNAcentral